Molecule: ribosomal RNA, 1046 nt
Filed under: uncultured Verrucomicrobiota bacterium
Lineage: Bacteria; Pseudomonadati; Verrucomicrobiota
Description: bacterial SSU rRNA
Rfam family: Bacterial small subunit ribosomal RNA
Source: RNAcentral
AGUGAACGCUGGCGGUGUGGUUAAGAUAUACAAGUCGAGCGGGAUUUAUUUUCAUAAUUCUUCAAAAAAAGUGAGAGUGAUGAGAGCAGCAAACGGGUUCAUAAUACGUGAACAACUUGCCCUUUAGUUUGGGAUAGCUCACUGAAAGGCGAAUUAAUACCGAAUGUGGUUUCGUUCUUCAUGGAACGGAUACUAAAGAUUGUAAUGGCGCUCUAGGAGAGGUUCACGCCCUAUCUGCUUGUUGGCGAGGUAAUGGCUCACCAAGGCGAAGACAGGUAGCUGGUCUGAGAGGAUGAUCAGCCACACUUGAACCGAGACACGGUCCAGACACCUCCGGGUGGCAGCAGUUUCGAAUCAUUCACAAUGGGCGAAAGCCGCGGUCAUACGGAGACUGCAAGGGUUACUCGGAAUUACUGGGCGUAAAGGGUGCGUAGGCGGCUAGGUGUGUCAGAUGUGAAAUCUCGAAGCUUAACUUCGGGAUUGCGUUUGAAACUGCAUGGCUAGAGUUUUGGAGAGGCAGGCGGAAUUUCUGGUGUAGCGGUGGAAUGCGAAAUAUAUCAGAAGGAACACCAAUGGCGAAGGCAGCUUGCUGGAAAAAUACUGACGCUCAUGAAGGAAAGCGUGGGGAGCUAAAAGAAUGAGAUACCCUUGUAGUCCACGCCGUAAACUUUGUACACUCGAUUUUGGGACAUUCGACCGUUUCAGAGUCGUAGCUAACGCGAUAAGUGUACCGCCUGAGGACUACCGUCGCAAGACUAAAACUCAAAGGAAUUGACGGCGCCCGCACAAGCAGUGGAGCAUGUGGCUUAAUUCGAUGCUACGCGAUAGACCUUACCUAAGCUUGACAUACACUGGACAGUUUGCGAAAGCAAAUCUUCCUUCGGGACCGGUGAACAGGUGCUGCAUCGCUGUCGUCAGCUACGGCGCCGUGAAUACGUUCUCGGGCCUUGUACACACCGCCCAUCACGUCCUGAAAGCCGGUUUUACCCGAAGCGCAUGAGCUAACCUUCACAGGGGCAGUGUUCUAAGGUGGAGUUGGUUAUUGG